RNAcentral lists this ribosomal RNA (470 nucleotides) under uncultured organism. RNAcentral describes it as "partial 16S ribosomal RNA". It matches the Rfam family "Bacterial small subunit ribosomal RNA", at positions 334 to 800 of the family's 1533-position model. The record is from RNAcentral.
CACUCCUACGGGAGGCAGCAGUGAGGAAAAUUGGACAAUGGGUGGAAGCCUGAUCCAGCCAUCCCGCGUGCAGGAAGACGGCCCUAUGGGUUGUAAACUGCUUUUAUCUGGGGAUAAACCUACUUACGUGUAAGUAGCUGAAGGUACCAGAAGAAUAAGCACCGGCUAACUCCGUGCCAGCAGCCGCGGUAAUACGGAGGGUGCAAGCGUUAUCCGGAUUUAUUGGGUUUAAAGGGUCCGUAGGCGGACUGAUAAGUCAGUGGUGAAAUCCGACAGCUUAACUGUCGAACUGCCAUUGAUACUGUUAGUCUUGAGUAAGGUUGAAGUGGCUGGAAUAAGUAGUGUAGCGGUGAAAUGCAUAGAUAUUACUUAGAACACCAAUUGCGAAGGCAGGUCACUAAGUCUUAACUGACGCUGAUGGACGAAAGCGUGGGGAGCGAACAGGAUUAGAAACCCCUGUAGUCCCAUGA